UCAGGUGUAUAAAUCUGCCACGGUGAUCUAAGAAAGUAGGUGAGACCUUCGAUGGCAUUGAAUGGAAAAUCAAGGAGAGCUUUCAAUACAUCGACAUCGUAGAAAAUAGAAUGAUCCAGUUUUGGUCAUCAUACUAUCGUCCUGGAUUUAGGAUUUAUAAUAAAUUGGUAAACCUGGUUUUCCAAACUCUUCUUCAUCAGUGUCCAUAUCCAGAUACUCUCUGUGCGGAUCAGCCGGAGGUUUUUCCAUUUUCUUAAUUCUUUCAGUUGCUUUCUCAAUUUCAUUUGGAGUAUCUCGUUUCCCCAACAUUGCGAGUAACCAGAACUAAAAACUAUUUGCAAACUUAAUCAUGACACCCUAAUAUCAAUAAAUAGACUAAAAACGUCUGAAACUGACUAGUCCAGAUUGUGGAAAAAUUG
Molecule: long non-coding RNA, 419 nt
Filed under: Neodiprion pinetum (white pine sawfly)
Lineage: Eukaryota; Metazoa; Arthropoda; Insecta; Hymenoptera; Diprionidae
Description: uncharacterized LOC124218747
Source: RNAcentral